RNAcentral lists this transfer RNA (48 nucleotides) under Rhodobiaceae bacterium. RNAcentral describes it as "tRNA-Val". The record is from RNAcentral. Lineage: Bacteria; Pseudomonadati; Pseudomonadota; Alphaproteobacteria; Hyphomicrobiales; Rhodobiaceae.
GGGCGGUUAGCUCAGCUGGGAGAGCAUCUCGUUUACACCGAGAGGGUC